CAAAUUGAUUUUAUGCUUGCAUAAAUGAUUUUUGGAUUCGGAGCGAGUGGCGAACUGGUGAGUAACACGUGGGUAACCUGCCCCGAAGCGGGGGAUAACAUUUGGAAACAAGUGCUAAUACCGCAUAAUUAGUUGGAACCGCAUGGUUCCAACUUGAAAGAUGGCUCUGCUAUCACUUUGGGAUGGACCCGCGCCGUAUUAGUUAGUUGGUGAGAUAAAAGCCCACCAAGACGAUGAUACGUAGCCGACCUGAGAGGGUAAUCGGCCACAUUGGGACUGAGACACGGCCCAGACUCCUACGGGAGGCAGCAGUAGGGAAUCUUCCACAAUGGACGAAAGUCUGAUGGAGCAACGCCGCGUGAGUGAUGAAGGUUUUCGGAUCGUAAAACUCUGUUGUUAAAGAAGAACAAGUGUUAGAGUAACUGUUAACACUUUGACGGUAUUUAACCAGAAAGCCACGGCUAACUACGUGCCAGCAGCCGCGGUAAUACGUAGGUGGCAAGCGUUGUCCGGAUUUAUUGGGCGUAAAGCGAGCGCAGGCGGUUUUGUAAGUCUGCUGUGAAAGCCCUCAGCUCAACUGAGGAAGUGCAGUGGAAACUACAAAACUUGAGUACAGAAGAGGAAAGUGGAACUCCAUGUGUAGCGGUGAAAUGCGUAGAUAUAUGGAAGAACACCAGUGGCGAAGGCGGCUUUCUGGUCUGUUACUG
RNAcentral lists this ribosomal RNA (707 nucleotides) under Apilactobacillus kunkeei. RNAcentral describes it as "bacterial SSU rRNA". It matches the Rfam family "Bacterial small subunit ribosomal RNA", at positions 58 to 742 of the family's 1533-position model. The record is from RNAcentral. Lineage: Bacteria; Bacillati; Bacillota; Bacilli; Lactobacillales; Lactobacillaceae.